UAAACGGAUCGGGUACAUAGGGAACCCUACUGUGAAUGUCGCCUCAUACCGGAUGAAGUAUCGAGGAUUGGUAUUUUUGGCGCUCAUAUCGGACGAGGUAUAUGCACCACCUGUUUCGCCCUUAUACCGGACGAAGUAUUGAGGGAUAGUAUUUUUAAGGCUCAUACCGGAUAAGUCUUGGGGACAGCUGGUUAGAUAAUAAG
Molecule: long non-coding RNA, 203 nt
Filed under: Carica papaya (papaya)
Lineage: Eukaryota; Viridiplantae; Streptophyta; Magnoliopsida; Brassicales; Caricaceae
Description: long non-coding RNA (CPAP_LNC002445)
Source: RNAcentral